UGGGGAAUUUUGGACAAUGGGGGCAACCCUGAUCCAGCAAUGCCGCGUGUGUGAAGAAGGCCUUCGGGUUGUAAAGCACUUUUGUCCGGAAAGAAAACGUCGUGGUUAAUACCCGUGGCGGCUGACGGUACCGGAAGAAUAAGCACCGGCUAACUACGUGCCAGCAGCCGCGGUAAUACGUAGGGUGCAAGCGUUAAUCGGAAUUACUGGGCGUAAAGCGUGCGCAGGCGGUCCGCUAAGACAGAUGUGAAAUCCCCGGGCUUAACCUGGGAACUGCAUUUGUGACUGGCGGGCUAGAGUAUGGCAGAGGGGGGUAGAAUUCCACGUGUAGCAGUGAAAUGCGUAGAGAUGUGGAGGAAUACCGAUGGCGAAGGCAGCCCCCUGGGCCAAUACUGACGCUCAUGCACGAAAGCGUGGGGAGCAAACAGGAUUAGAUACCCUGGUAGUCCACGCCCUAAACGAUGUCAACUAGUUGUC
This 477-nucleotide ribosomal RNA is filed under the name uncultured bacterium. RNAcentral describes it as "partial 16S ribosomal RNA". It matches the Rfam family "Bacterial small subunit ribosomal RNA", at positions 355 to 824 of the family's 1533-position model. The record is from RNAcentral.